ACGAACGCUGGCGGCGCGCCUAACACAUGCAAGUCGAACGAGCGAGAGAGAGCUUGCUUUCUUGAGCGAGUGGCGAACGGGUGAGUAACGCGUGAGGAACCUGCCUCAAAGAGGGGGACAACAGUUGGAAACGACUGCUAAUACCGCAUAAGCCCACGGUGCCGCAUGGCACAGAGGGAAAAGGAGCAAUCCGCUUUGAGAUGGCCUCGCGUCCGAUUAGCUAGUUGGUGAGGUAACGGCCCACCAAGGCGACGAUCGGUAGCCGGACUGAGAGGUUGAACGGCCACAUUGGGACUGAGACACGGCCCAGACUCCUACGGGAAGCAGCAGUGGGGAAUAUUGCACAAUGGGGGAAACCCUGAUGCAGCGACGCCGCGUGGAGGAAGAAGGUCUUCGGAUUGUAAACUCCUGUUGUUGGGGAAGAUAAUGACGGUACCCAACAAGGAAGUGACGGCUAACUACGUG
RNAcentral lists this ribosomal RNA (465 nucleotides) under uncultured bacterium. Its description in RNAcentral is "partial 16S ribosomal RNA". It matches the Rfam family "Bacterial small subunit ribosomal RNA", at positions 29 to 507 of the family's 1533-position model. The record is from RNAcentral.